UACGUAGGGAGCAAGCGUUGUUCGGAUUUACUGGGCGUAAAGGGCGCGUAGGCGGCGCUGUAAGUCACUUGUGAAAUCUCUGAGCUUAACUCAGAACGGCCAAGUGAUACUGCAGUGCUAGAGUGCAGAAAGGGCAAUCGGAAUUCUUGGUGUAGCGGUGAAAUGCGUAGAUAUCAAGAGGAACACCUGAGGCGAAGGCGGGUUGCUAGGCUGACACUGACGCUGAGGCGCGAAAGCCAGGGGAGCAAAC
Molecule: ribosomal RNA, 250 nt
Filed under: uncultured bacterium
Lineage: Bacteria
Description: partial 16S ribosomal RNA
Rfam family: Bacterial small subunit ribosomal RNA
Source: RNAcentral